AGUCACUGACAUUAGAUACCCCCGUAGUCCAGGGUGUAAACGCUGCAGACUUGGUGUUGGAAGCCCUUUGGGGGCAUUCAGUGCCGGAGAGAAGUUGUUAAGUCUGCUACUUGGGGAGUACGUCCGCAAGGAUGAAACUUAAAGGAAUUGGCGGGGAGCACCACAACGGGUGGAGCCUGCGGUUUAAUUGGACUCAACGCCGGAAAUCUCACCGGAUAGGACAGACAUAUGAUAGUCGGGCUGAAGACUCUACUUGAUGAUCUG
RNAcentral lists this ribosomal RNA (264 nucleotides) under uncultured archaeon. RNAcentral's name for it is "partial 16S ribosomal RNA". It matches the Rfam family "Archaeal small subunit ribosomal RNA", at positions 718 to 982 of the family's 1478-position model. The record is from RNAcentral.